UACGGAAGGCAGCAGUGGGGAAUAUUGCACAAUGGGCGCAAGCCUGAUGCAGCCAUGCCGCGUGUAUGAAAAAGGCCUUCGGGGUUGUAAAGUACUUUCAGUCGUGAGGAAGGUGUUAAGGUUAUAACCUUAGCAAUUGACGUUAGCGACAGAAGAAGCACCGGCUAACUCCGUGCCAGCAGCCGCGGUAAUACGGAGGGUGCGAGCGUUAAUCGGAAUUACUGGGCGUAAAGGGCACGCAGGCGGUUAAUUAAGUUGGAUGUGAAAUCCCCGGGCUUAACCUGGGAAUGGCAUUCAAGACUGGUUAGCUAGAGUCUUGUAGAGGGGGUAGAAUUCCAUGUGUAGCGGUGAAAUGCGUAGAGAUGUGGAGGAAUACCGGUGGCGAAGGCGGCCCCUGGACAAAGGCUGACGCUCAUGUGCGAAAGCGUGGGGAGCAAACGAGGGAUUAGAUACCC
This 455-nucleotide ribosomal RNA is filed under the name uncultured bacterium. Its description in RNAcentral is "bacterial SSU rRNA". It matches the Rfam family "Bacterial small subunit ribosomal RNA", at positions 340 to 787 of the family's 1533-position model. The record is from RNAcentral.